This is a long non-coding RNA of Alexandromys fortis (reed vole), 1488 nucleotides long. RefSeq lists it as uncharacterized. The record is from RefSeq and is a predicted model, not a curated record. Lineage: Eukaryota; Metazoa; Chordata; Mammalia; Rodentia; Cricetidae. The transcript is spliced from 3 exons.
AAGGAAAGAAGGAAGGAAGGAAAAAAACUCAUCACAGGCAUACCUAACCACUUGGCUAUUAAUUUCAGAUAUAGUAAAAUCGACAACCAAGAAUAGCCAUCACAUCAGUGACAAAUAUAUCUGAAACAAGAGGUUAGAAGAUAGACCAAGGCCACCCAUAUUCUAAGUGAGAGAUUCAGAAUUUAAGGCCAAGACCUUCUAAGUAUAUUGUCCCUCCUCUGACGCUGCAUGACCAGUCUAUAAGUUUUUGAAGAUAGAAAUGUUACUAGCAGGAGUGUAAAUCAUUGGAUCUGAGUGCUGAGCACAGGAGAUGCAGCAGCCUAUAGAUAAGCUCCUGGGACAGAAGAGAAAAAUAAUUAUCAACCCAGCUAAAAAUCCUGUGGCCCACAGAGGUCACCUCCCUGGGAGAUGUGUUGGUCACAAACAUUGUAGGGGUAGCCAACCCCUUUCUGAUUGAAUUUAAGGCCCACUCCAUGACAUGAAACCCAUUUCUGACAUUGCUAAAGUGACUGAGUGUCUGAGACUAGAUAGGUCACGGACAUAGGGAAAGAACAAACACGACUGUUCUCAUGAAUAAGCGUCACAAUAAAAUGACUCCUAAGGACACUCUGCUAUACCCAUAGAUCAGUAUCUUGUUCAUCCAUCAGCAGAGCUUUCUCUUAGAGACCCACAUCUAAGCAAAAUUCAGAGAGUGAGAGACUUUGAAGUACUCAAUUCUCAAUGAGAUGUCUUCAUCAAACCCCUCCCCUCAGGGUUCAAGGAGCCGUGAAGAAGAGGAGACAAGAAGAUUUUAAGAGCCAGAGGUGAUAAAUGACUCCAAUGAAAAGUGUCUUCCAGACACAUGACUGAUGCACACAGGAAGUCACAGAGACUGUGGCAGCAGGCACAGGUUCAAACUAGAUGACACCCUGGUGCCUAGAGGGAGAAGUCAACAUGUGCUCCCACCCCUAACCAAGAAGCUAUCUGGCAAUUGUCCUCCCCAUGUCUCAUGGGUCCAGGAAGCAUCACCAUCUCUAUCUGAGGCAGCUUUGGUGGAAGAGGAGAAAGACAAUGGAGAAUGUCCUACAGAAAAACAAACGCUGGUGCUGGUUCACUGCUCACAGUGUAGAAGCCUCUGUUUGACAAAGGAACCGUUGCAAGCACCAUCACUGAACCGGAGUUGAGUGACUGGGAAGAAAGGCAGUUUCAGACUCUUGACUUUUAAUGGAACUGAAGGACAUCCUAAUGGAAUCAUCAAUGGAUAGACCAUUAUAAUAUUUUCAUGAUAAAUGACUGCAUGACCUUUUUUUACAUCUCUGAAAUAGAUUGCUUGACAGUGCUAGUAAAUCCAUCCCCUCUGACUUAUUUAUAUGAGCAGAUUCUCCAUGCCUGUCUCUGUAACAACAUAAAUGGGAACAAAAAGGAUAUUGUACCCUGCCACAUUCCAGCAGUAAACAGUUCACCAUGGGGAAGAGAAGCUCUCAAGAAAACGCCACUUGACUUACUACU